ACUUCUGAUCACAGUCAAUGGGAUCGUUUUUCUCAGUUUUCCAAGGAUAAGCUUGACAAACUUAUUUCUGAAGGUACUUUACACCAUGAUGUUAUACGUUUUCAUUACUAUGUUCAGUACCAUCUAUAUAUACAAUUAUCUGAGGCAGCAACAUAUGCAA
Molecule: long non-coding RNA, 160 nt
Organism: Zea mays
Lineage: Eukaryota; Viridiplantae; Streptophyta; Magnoliopsida; Poales; Poaceae
Exons: 3
Source: RefSeq, a predicted model, not a curated record